RNAcentral lists this ribosomal RNA (253 nucleotides) under uncultured bacterium. Its description in RNAcentral is "partial 16S ribosomal RNA". It matches the Rfam family "Bacterial small subunit ribosomal RNA", at positions 524 to 776 of the family's 1533-position model. The record is from RNAcentral.
UACAGAGGUCUCAAGCGUUGUUCGGAAUCACUGGGCGUAAAGGGUGCGUAGGUGGCAUGGUAAGUCAGAUGUGAAAGCCCAGGGCUCAACCUUGGAAUUGCAUCCGAUACUGCUGUGCUAGAGUACUGGAGGGGUGACUAGAAUUCUCGGUGUAGCAGUGAAAUGCGUAGAUAUCGAGAGGAAUACCAAAGGCGUAGGCAGGUCACUGGACAGUUACUGACACUGAGGCACGAAGGCCAGGGGAGCAAACGGG